Molecule: ribosomal RNA, 1491 nt
Filed under: uncultured beta proteobacterium
Lineage: Bacteria; Pseudomonadati; Pseudomonadota; Betaproteobacteria
Description: 16S ribosomal RNA
Rfam family: Bacterial small subunit ribosomal RNA
Source: RNAcentral
UGAGUUUGAUCCUGGCUCAGAUUGAACGCUGGCGGCAUGCCUUACACAUGCAAGUCGAACGGCAGCACGGGUGCUUGCACCUGGUGGCGAGUGGCGAACGGGUGAGUAAUACAUCGGAACAUGUCCUGUAGUGGGGGAUAGCCCGGCGAAAGCCGGAUUAAUACCGCAUACGAUCUACGGAUGAAAGCGGGGGACCUUCGGGCCUCGCGCUAUAGGGUUGGCCGAUGGCUGAUUAGCUAGUUGGUGGGGUAAAGGCCUACCAAGGCGACGAUCAGUAGCUGGUCUGAGAGGACGACCAGCCACACUGGGACUGAGACACGGCCCAGACUCCUACGGGAGGCAGCAGUGGGGAAUUUUGGACAAUGGGCGAAAGCCUGAUCCAGCAAUGCCGCGUGUGUGAAGAAGGCCUUCGGGUUGUAAAGCACUUUUGUCCGGAAAGAAAUCCUUGGCUCUAAUACAGUCGGGGGAUGACGGUACCGGAAGAAUAAGCACCGGCUAACUACGUGCCAGCAGCCGCGGUAAUACGUAGGGUGCGAGCGUUAAUCGGAAUUACUGGGCGUAAAGCGUGCGCAGGCGGUUUGCUAAGACCGAUGUGAAAUCCCCGGGCUCAACCUGGGAACUGCAUUGGUGACUGGCANGCUAGAGUAUGGCAGAGGGGGGUAGAAUUCCACGUGUAGCAGUGAAAUGCGUAGAGAUGUGGAGGAAUACCGAUGGCGAAAGCAGCCCCCUGGGCCAAUACUGACGCUCAUGCACGAAAGCGUGGGGAGCAAACAGGGAUAGAUACCCUGGUAGUCCACGCCCUAAACGAUGUCAACUAGUUGGUGGGGAUUCAUUUCCUUAGUAACGUAGCUAACGCGUGAAGUUGACCGCCUGGGGAGUACGGUCGCAAGAUUAAAACUCAAAGGAAUUGACGGGGACCCGCACAAGCGGUGGAUGAUGUGGAUUAAUUCGAUGCAACGCGAAAAACCUUACCUACCCUUGACAUGGUCGGAAUCCCGCUGAGAGGUGGGAGUGCUCAAAAGAGAACCGGCGCACAGGUGCUGCAUGGCUGUCGUCAGCUCGUGUCGUGAGAUGUUGGGUUAAGUCCCGCAACGAGCGCAACCCUUGUCCUUAGUUGCUACGCAAGAGCACUCUAAGGAGACUGCCGGUGACAAACCGGAGGAAGGUGGGGAUGACGUCAAGUCCUCAUGGCCCUUAUGGGUAGGGCUUCACACGUCAUACAAUGGUCGGAACAGAGGGUUGCCAACCCGCGAGGGGGAGCUAAUCCCAGAAAACCGAUCGUAGUCCGGAUUGCACUCUGCAACUCGAGUGCAUGAAGCUGGAAUCGCUAGUAAUCGCGGAUCAGCAUGCCGCGGUGAAUACGUUCCCGGGUCUUGUACACACCGCCCGUCACACCAUGGGAGUGGGUUUUACCAGAAGUGGCUAGUCUAACCGCAAGGAGGACGGUCACCACGGUAGGAUUCAUGACUGGGGUGAAGUCGUAACAAGGUA